Molecule: transfer RNA, 82 nt
Filed under: Chloroflexota bacterium
Lineage: Bacteria; Bacillati; Chloroflexota
Also listed under: 1 other name
Description: Chloroflexi bacterium (marine sediment metagenome) tRNA-Leu
Rfam family: tRNA
About the family: Transfer RNA (tRNA) molecules are approximately 80 nucleotides in length. Their secondary structure includes four short double-helical elements and three loops (D, anti-codon, and T loops).
Source: RNAcentral
GCCGAAGUGGCGGAACUGGCAGACGCGCACGACUCAAACUCGUGUGGAGUAAUCCGUGUGGGUUCGACUCCCACCUUCGGCA